RNAcentral lists this ribosomal RNA (253 nucleotides) under uncultured bacterium. Its description in RNAcentral is "partial 16S ribosomal RNA". It matches the Rfam family "Bacterial small subunit ribosomal RNA", at positions 524 to 776 of the family's 1533-position model. The record is from RNAcentral.
GACGGGGGGUCCUAGCGUUGUUCGGAAUCAUUGGGCGUAAAGCGUGUGCAGGCGGUUUGGAAAGUUGGAUGUGAAAGCCCCGGGCUCAACUCGGGAAGUGCAUUCAAAACUCCCAAACUUGAGUAAGGAAGAGGGUCGUGGAAUUCCAGGUGUAGUGGUGAAAUACGUAGAUAUCUGGAGGAACACCGAUGGCGAAGGCAGGUCUCUGGGCCACUACUGACGCUGAGAAGCGAAAGCAUGGGGAGCGAACAGG